Molecule: ribosomal RNA, 465 nt
Filed under: uncultured bacterium
Lineage: Bacteria
Description: partial 16S ribosomal RNA
Rfam family: Bacterial small subunit ribosomal RNA
Source: RNAcentral
CUACGGGGCGCAGCAGUGAGGAAUUUUGCGCAAUGGGGGCAACCCUGACGCAGCAACGCCGCGUGAGUGAAGAAGGCCUUUGGGUCGUAAAACUCUGUCAAUGGGGAAGAAGUUAUUAAUUUUAAAUAGAGAUUAGUAUUGACGGUACCCAUGAAGGAAGCACCGGCUAACUCCGUGCCAGCAGCCGCGGUAAUACGGGGGGUGCAAGCGUUAUUCGGAAUUAUUGGGCGUAAAGGGCACGCAGGCGGUCUUGCCAGUCAGAUGUGAAAGCCCGGGGCUCAACCCUGGAAGUGCAUUUGAAACUACAAGACUUGAGUACGGUAGAGGAAAGGGGAAUUCCUGGUGUAGAGGUGAAAUUCGUAGAUAUCAGGAGGAACACCGGUGGCGAAGGCGCCUUUCUGGACCGAAACUGACGCUGAGGUGCGAAGGCGUGGGUAGCGAACAGGAUUAGAUACCCUUGUAGUC